RNAcentral lists this small nucleolar RNA (91 nucleotides) under Alligator mississippiensis (American alligator). Its description in RNAcentral is "Small nucleolar RNA U3". The stretch from base 1 to 41 matches the Rfam family "Small nucleolar RNA U3", at positions 1 to 41 of the family's 219-position model. The record is from Rfam by way of RNAcentral. RNAcentral also lists the same sequence under 1 other name. Lineage: Eukaryota; Metazoa; Chordata; Crocodylia; Alligatoridae.
AAGGCUGUACUUUCAGGGAUCAUUUCUAUAGUUGGUAACUAGAGGAGUGUGCCCAUACUGAAGGUUUUUCCAUCAGAAACUGACACACAGU